Molecule: long non-coding RNA, 516 nt
Filed under: Equus caballus (horse)
Lineage: Eukaryota; Metazoa; Chordata; Mammalia; Perissodactyla; Equidae
Description: lncRNA (ENSECAG00000054394.1)
Source: RNAcentral
CUUACCCUCUCCUUAGUGGCCCGGGCCGAAAAUCCUGGACACGGGAUUCUGAUGAUCAUAGAGGAAGGAAGUUUUCCUAAGGAAAUUGCUAGCUGAUGCAGAGGAAGACCAACCAGCAACUAUCCAUGCAUAAGUCACCACUGUGAACAUCCCAGAACCUGAGGGUGAGGUGGAAGCACCUCCCUUGACCAUAAAGACUGAGAAGGACCACAUUAGAAGGGCAGACAGCUAGACGACACGUCUCAGUUUCCUUUGCAGUCUGUGUGGUCACGUGACUGAAUUCUCAGCAAUGGAAUGUUUGCAUAUGAAGAAGGAAUCUGCAUUUGUAAGCACCUGGGAGAUAUGAGCAGGAUAUAGAGAGAACAGACAUUAAGAAAUAUUGGUCCAACGAUACAUUACAUUAAGAAAUGUACCAUCUGAGAGACUACCGCACAACAAUGGAGACCUAGGAUAUCAGUGAGGUAGUGCCAGAAGAAGUAGCAUGGGUGAUUUCAGUCAUAAAAACCUCUUCUUUUU